Molecule: ribosomal RNA, 438 nt
Filed under: uncultured bacterium
Lineage: Bacteria
Description: bacterial SSU rRNA
Rfam family: Bacterial small subunit ribosomal RNA
Source: RNAcentral
AACGCGAAGAACCUUACCAGGGUUUGACAUGCACGUGCACCAGCCAGAGAUGGUUGUCCCUUCGGGGCGCGUGCACAGGUGCUGCAUGGCUGUCGUCAGCUCGUGCCGUGAGGUGUUGGGUUAAGUCCCGCAACGAGCGCAACCCUUGUCCUGUGUUACCAUGCCGAAAGGCGGCACUCGCAGGAGACCGCCAGCGAUAAGCUGGAGGAAGGUGGGGAUGACGUCAAGUCCUCAUGGCCUUUAUGUCCAGGGCUACACACGUGCUACAAUGGGCGGUACAAAGCGCUGCUAAGCCGCAAGGCGGAGCCAAUCGCAAAAAGCCGCUCUCAGUUCGGAUUGCAGGCUGCAACUCGCCUGCAUGAAGCUGGAAUCGCUAGUAAUGCUAUAUCAGAACGAUAGCGUGAAUACGUUCCCGGGCCUUGUACACACCGUAGAGAC